This 448-nucleotide ribosomal RNA is filed under the name uncultured prokaryote. RNAcentral's name for it is "bacterial SSU rRNA". It matches the Rfam family "Bacterial small subunit ribosomal RNA", at positions 355 to 796 of the family's 1533-position model. The record is from RNAcentral.
UCGGGAAUCUUGCACAAUGGGCGAAAGCCUGAUGCAGCAACGCCGUGUGAGCGAGGAAGGUCUUCGGAUCGUAAAGCUCUGUUGUUGGGGACGAAGGGCGAAGGGUUAAUAGCCCCUAGCCUGACGGUACCCUUCGAGGAAGCCCCGGCUAACUACGUGCCAGCAGCCGCGGUAAUACGUAGGGGCCUAGCGUUGUCCGGAAUUAUUGGGCGUAAAGAGCUCGUAGGCGGCCCACCAAGUCGGAUGUGAAAUCUCAAGGCUUAACCUUGAAAUUGCAUCCGAUACUGAUGGGCUUGAGGCAGGUAGGGGAAGGUGGAAUUCCUGGUGUAGCGGUGAAAUGCGCAGAUAUCAGGAGGAACACCGGUGGCGAAGGCGGCCUUCUGGGCCUGUACUGACGCUGAGGAGCGAAAGCGUGGGGAGCAAACAGGAUUAGAUACCCCCGUAGUCC